GAGGUCCGGCUUCCAGGAUCGGAUGCUUUCCGAGGUCGGGCAAUUUCUAGGUCGGGCGCCUUCCAGGUCGGGCGCCUUUUUGGUCGGGCGCCUUCCAGGUCGGGCGACUCUUAGGUCGGGCGCCUCCGACCACGUGCUGACGGCCUGCUCACGUGCUUUGGGGCAAUUUAUUUUCCCCCAACAGCUUGAUUUGGAGUCCAAGAAAAAAGUUGAGUUCACCCAUCAAACUCAUCUCGAACUCACUUUGCAUGAGCUUAGCAAAUUCUUCACAUAAACUUUCAUUAGUAGCACCAAAUAUAAUGUUAUCAACAUAUAUUUGAACAAUCAAGAUAUCAGCAU
This 339-nucleotide long non-coding RNA is filed under the name Phoenix dactylifera (date palm). Its description in RNAcentral is "long non-coding RNA (PDAC_LNC005723)". Lineage: Eukaryota; Viridiplantae; Streptophyta; Magnoliopsida; Arecales; Arecaceae. The record is from RNAcentral.